GAUGAACGCCGGCGGCGUGCCUAAUACAUGCAAGUCGAGCGAACGGACGAGAAGCUUGCUUUUCUGAUGUUAGCGGCGGACGGGUGAGUAACACGUGGAUAACCUACCUAUAAGACUGGGAUAACUUCGGGAAACCGGAGCUAAUACCGGAUAAUAUUUUGAACCGCAUGGUUCAAAAGUGAAAGACGGUCUUGCUGUCACUUAUAGAUGGAUCCGCGCUGCAUUAGCUAGUUGGUAAGGUAACGGCUUACCAAGGCAACGAUGCAUAGCCGACCUGAGAGGGUGAUCGGCCACACUGGAACUGAGACACGGUCCAGACUCCUACGGGAGGCAGCAGUAGGGAAUCUUCCGCAAUGGGCGAAAGCCUGACGGAGCAACGCCGCGUGAGUGAUGAAGGUCUUCGGAUCGUAAAACUCUGUUAUUAGGGAAGAACAUAUGUGUAAGUAACUGUGCACAUCUUGACGGUACCUAAUCAGAAAGCCACGGCUAACUACGU
This 496-nucleotide ribosomal RNA is filed under the name uncultured bacterium. RNAcentral describes it as "partial 16S ribosomal RNA". It matches the Rfam family "Bacterial small subunit ribosomal RNA", at positions 28 to 506 of the family's 1533-position model. The record is from RNAcentral.